This 423-nucleotide ribosomal RNA is filed under the name uncultured bacterium. Its description in RNAcentral is "bacterial SSU rRNA". It matches the Rfam family "Bacterial small subunit ribosomal RNA", at positions 207 to 622 of the family's 1533-position model. The record is from RNAcentral.
AAGACCUUGCGCUUUUGGGGCGGCCGAUGUCUGAUUAGCUUGUUGGUAAGGUAAAAGCUUACCAAGGCUUCGAUCAGUAGCUGGUCUGAGAGGACGGCCAGCCACACUGGGACUGAGACACGGCCCAGACUCCUACGGGAGGCAGCAGUGGGGAAUUUUGGACAAUGGGGGCAACCCUGAUCCAGCCAUGCCGCGUGAGUGAAGAAGGCCUUCGGGUUGUAAAGCUCUUUCAGCCGGAACGAAACGGUUACGGUUAAUACCCGUGACUACUGACGGUACCGGAAGAAGAAGCACCGGCUAACUACGUGCCAGCAGCCGCGGUAAUACGUAGGGUGCAAGCGUUAAUCGGAAUUACUGGGCGUAAAGCGUGCGCAGGUGGUUUUGUAAGUCAGAUGUGAAAUCCCCGGGCUUAACCUGGGAACU